UAAACGCAAACAAAAAUAAAUACGUGCAAAUUAUACAAAAAUAAGCUACCACCGUAAUAAAAUCAAGUAAGCCAGGCCACCUCGAGGAGGAAAAUAUGCUGCCGUGAAAAGCGUAGGAUAAUGCACCAUGUCUCCCAUUAAUUUGUUUUUUUUUUGUUUCAUUUUAUAACAAGUUAUGCUAAACUACAGUUAUAAUACCCUUUUAAAAUAUCAUGCGACCAUUUUGAAGACUAAAUAAUAGAGAUUAGAGUUUUAAGGUCCAACCAGAUUGGAAGCAAUCCAUAUGCUCCAAUUUAGUUGAAAAAGAAAAAGAUUAUCUUUUUAGUAAAUAGUUAAAACAUGCAGUGUUAAAAAGUUCCAGAAAACAUUCAACCUUAACUAAUGCAUCGUUUUGUUAAUUCUUAUAUAUUUAAAAGUCUUAUACAAUAGGUAUAAAAGAACAAUUUAAAUUAAAACUACGAAUUACCAAGAAUAGCAACUUUAUUUAAAGUACAAAAUGGUUAUAAAAUACAAUCAAAAUGCUUUUAUAUCACUGUAACUUCUUAUUGUCAUAUUACAUGCUACAGUACGAAAAAUACUUUUAGAUAGGUAGUAAUUCUUACUAUACAUUUAGUAACUAGGUGUGCAAUCACUUGGAUAGACUUAUAUAAUGUGUAAAACAUUAUAUUCCGUUGUCCAUAUUAUUAUUGUCAUGUACGUAUGCAGUGUGAGAUGACCGUAAUAUUUUAAAUACAGCCAUUAUUAUUAUUGUAUAAAAAUUUCAAAAUAGUUUGAGAAUAUUCCUAUCACAGCUAUGUUGUACUCAAAUAUUUUGUGUUCAAAGAUUUAGCUCAGUUAAUAUUGUCAAAAAUCACAACCUACAUUGUUGCAAUAACAAGCUACAUUGGUACCAAUUCUGAAACCAAACUUAACUGGCAGGACUUAAGCGCAAUUACCAACAAAACCCCCCACAAGAACAAGACAGAUAUUUAGCCCUGCCAGUUUAGUUUGAAACUUUGUAUAAAACAGAAUCGGUAAGAUUGUUUGUUCAAGUUUUCUAUUGAGAAAAUAUUUUUAACCCCUAAUGACUAAGAUUCUGAAGGCACUUAAUGUUACACUGAAAUGACUUGUAAUGGUUGUACUUAUAGAGUUCUACGUAUUGAUUGUAUGAUGGUAACUCCGGCAGAUAAUAUACUAAUCGGUUAUCGCGGCAGCAAAAUCGUUCCGACGUCGACAACGAGGCCUCUCAGGCUGAGAUCUAAGGAGCGUACUUUGAUGCUCACACUUCAGACACAGUUAAAACGAGUCACAAUUAUAUCUCUUACAUAAAUCUGUUUGAACUCUAAAUAAAGCCUGAAAAACUAACAGUCUGUGUACAAUGAACAGUGAAUGAA
This is a long non-coding RNA of Maniola jurtina (meadow brown), 1373 nucleotides long. RefSeq lists it as uncharacterized. Lineage: Eukaryota; Metazoa; Arthropoda; Insecta; Lepidoptera; Nymphalidae. The record is from RefSeq and is a predicted model, not a curated record. The transcript is spliced from 2 exons.